GGGCAAGUGGUGGAAUGGUAGACACGCUAGCCUUAGGAGCUAGUGCCGCAAGGCGUGGAGGUUCAAGUCCUCUCUUGCCCACAA
Molecule: transfer RNA, 84 nt
Filed under: Candidatus Zambryskibacteria bacterium RIFCSPHIGHO2_01_FULL_35_32
Lineage: Bacteria; Candidatus Zambryskiibacteriota
Also listed under: 1 other name
Description: tRNA-Leu
Rfam family: tRNA
About the family: Transfer RNA (tRNA) molecules are approximately 80 nucleotides in length. Their secondary structure includes four short double-helical elements and three loops (D, anti-codon, and T loops).
Source: RNAcentral